UUAUAUAAAUAAUGACAAAUUAAAAUAAUCAUCUCCAUUUUAAUUGGUUUUUCUAUCAUGGAGAAAUUAUGAUGGUUCCAAUUAAAAAAAACAAAUAGAGAAGAAUAAAAAAGAAGUGGUGAAGAAUAAAAAAAGAAAGCAAAUGGAGAAGAAUAAAAAUAUAAUCAAUUAAAAGUAAUAAUUAGUUUUCCAUUUUAAGGUGAUGAGUGUUAACUCCGUGAGGGGUGUCUAUAAUUUGCUCACUAUUCAUGACUCUCAUGGUGUUUAAGCUAUUUUAGAUUUAAUUUGACAAAAACAGGUUCCCUUUAAGGUCUCUAUUUUGGCUUGGAGCCUUAUUCGUAAUAGGUUACCAAUUAAGGACAAUUUGGUGAUGUGCAGCAUCAUUUCUCAUGACUCUCAAUUUUGUGUGACUGGCUGCGGUGGAUUGGAAAUAGCACAUCACUUGUUUCAUUCUUGCCCUGUUUUCGCCCCUUUUUGGUGCAUGGUUAGGUCGUGGAUUGGUAUAUCUUCAGCUGAUCUGGAUUUGUUACAGGAUCAUCUUGUUCAGUUUAUUCAUUCUUCUGGAGGAUUGUGAGUUCGUCGUUCAUUCUUGCAGCUUAUUUGGUUAUGUUGUGUUUGGGUUAUGUGGAAUGAGAGGAAAAAUAGAGUUUUUAAGGCUAAGGAAAACACAAUUCAUCAGAUGUUAGAUAAAGUCAAAUUACAUUCAUUUUGGUGGUUGAAAGCUUAUAAUGUCAAUCUUGGGUUAAACUCUCAUAUGUGUUGGUCGAGCUCUUUUGUUUGUAUGGGCAUCGACUAAGUUUUCUUGUUUCUUUUGUUUUUGGUUUCGUGUUGAUUGUAAAAUUUUGAGGUUCUUUCUGGCACACCUUGUGUUAGGAAUGACUAUCAGUUGGUUUUAAAAUGAUCCAUUUUUUCCUGUUAAAAAAAAAAAAUUAAAGCCAACCGUAUCAUUUAAUAUUAAUUAAUCUAAGUUGUUAAUUGAUAAAAGAACAAAAUGCCAAUAUUUAGAGUAAGUAAAUAAACUUACCUUCAAUUCAAAAUAUCCGCCUUCAAUAUAUAUAUAUAUGUUCUGGAAUGCUAGAUAAGAAGUAUAAAAGUUAUUAAAUAUUCAUAAAUAGGUUUUAACAAUAAUUACAAACAACAUUUUUAUGUAAGAUCU
Molecule: long non-coding RNA, 1156 nt
Filed under: Medicago truncatula (barrel medic)
Lineage: Eukaryota; Viridiplantae; Streptophyta; Magnoliopsida; Fabales; Fabaceae
Description: long non-coding RNA (MTRU_LNC001951)
Source: RNAcentral